GAUGAACGCUGGCGGCGUGCCUAAUACAUGCAAGUCGAGCGAACAGACGAGGAGCUUGCUCCUCUGACGUUAGCGGCGGACGGGUGAGUAACACGUGGAUAACCUACCUAAGACUGGGAUAACUUCGGGAAACCGGAGCUAAUACCGGAUAAUAUAUUGAACCGCAUGGUUCAAUAGUGAAAGACGGUUUUGCUGUCACUUAUAGAUGGAUCCGCGCCGCAUUGGCUAGUUGGUAAGGUAACGGCUUACCAAGGCGACGAUGCGUAGCCGACCUGAGAGGGUGAUCGGCCACACUGGAACUGAGACACGGUCCAGACUCCUACGGGAGGCAGCAGUAGGGAAUCUUCCGCAAUGGGCGAAAGCCUGACGGAGCAACGCCGCGUGAGUGAUGAAGGUCUUCGGAUCGUAAAACUCUGUUAUUAGGGAAGAACAAAUGUGUAAGUAACUAUGCACGUCUUGACGGUACCUAAUCAGAAAGCCACGGCUAACUACGUG
Molecule: ribosomal RNA, 495 nt
Filed under: uncultured bacterium
Lineage: Bacteria
Description: partial 16S ribosomal RNA
Rfam family: Bacterial small subunit ribosomal RNA
Source: RNAcentral